RNAcentral lists this ribosomal RNA (1044 nucleotides) under uncultured Planctomycetota bacterium. Its description in RNAcentral is "bacterial SSU rRNA". It matches the Rfam family "Bacterial small subunit ribosomal RNA", at positions 355 to 1382 of the family's 1533-position model. The record is from RNAcentral. Lineage: Bacteria; Pseudomonadati; Planctomycetota.
UGGGGAAUUUUGGCCAAUGGGGGAAAGCCUGAUCCAGCAAUGCCGCGUGUGCGAAGAAGGCCUUCGGGUUGUAAAGCACUUUUGUCCGGAAAGAAAUCCGUUCGGCUAAUACCCGGAUGGGAUGACGGUACCGGAAGAAUAAGCACCGGCUAACUACGUGCCAGCAGCCGCGGUAAUACGUAGGGUGCAAGCGUUAAUCGGAAUUACUGGGCGUAAAGCGUGCGCAGGCGGCUAUGCAAGACAGGUGUGAAAUCCCCGGGCUUAACCUGGGAACUGCACUUGUGACUGCAUGGCUAGAGUGCGUCAGAGGGAGGUGGAAUUCCGCGUGUAGCAGUGAAAUGCGUAGAGAUGCGGAGGAACGCCGGCGGCGAAAGCGACUCUCUGGUCCGAAACUGACGCUGAGUGUGCGAAAGCUAGGGGAGCAAACGGGAUUAGAUACCCCGGUAGUCCUAGCCGUAAACGAUGGGCACUAAGUAGAGGGGUUUUGAUUAUUUCUCUGCCGGAGCUAACGCAUUAAGUGCCCCGCCUGGGGAGUACGGCCGCAAGGCUAAAACUCAAAAGAAUUGACGGGGGCUCGCACAAGCGGUGGAGCAUGUGGCUUAAUUCGAUGCAACGCGAAGAACCUUACCGGGGCUUGACAUGGUAGAAGUAGAAUCCUGAAAGGGUGACGAUCGGUAUCCAGUCCGAAGCUAUCACAGGUGUUGCAUGGCUGUCGUCAGCUCGUGUCGUGAGACGUUGGGUUAAGUCCCCUAACGAGCGAAACCCUUGUCUUUAGUUGCUAACGGGUAAUGCUGAGCACUUUAGAGAGACUGCCGUCGUUAAGACGGAGGAAGGUGGGGACGACGUCAAGUCAUCAUGGCCCUUAUGUCCCGGGCUGCACACGUGCUACAAUGGUCGGUACAAAGGGAUGCUAAGUCGCGAGAUGGUGCGAAACCUAUAAAGCCGAUCUCAGUUCAGAUUGGAGGCUGAAACUCGCCUCCAUGAAGUUGGAAUCGCUAGUAAUCGCGGAUCAGCUACGCCGCGGUGAAUAUGUUCCCGAGCCUU